Non-coding RNA from Corchorus olitorius, 90 nucleotides. Lineage: Eukaryota; Viridiplantae; Streptophyta; Magnoliopsida; Malvales; Malvaceae. The record is from Rfam.
UGGCAAUGAUGUGAAAUUAGAGAAAGUCAUGCAUCACGCUGAAUCUAUUACGUGCUGAUAAUUCUCUCUACCCAUAUUUUUUCCGAGCCU